AAACUUUGUUGAACAAAGGGCGGUGUUGAGGCAGAACCUGAUUUGCAUAAACCCCAAUAUAACAGCGUGGCCCCAAGGCAAUAGACGUCAGUCUUCUGUAGCGAGGGUUGCAACUGAGUUACCAGCUUGUUUUUAAACGAAGGAGCUAUUGUCGUUUGGUCGCCAGCCUUCCGAGAUGGCAGACGAGGAAAGCAAGCCCGCAGUCGGUAGCGAUCUGCAAAAGGAGAUCACUGGCUUCAAGAAGGAAAAACUUCAACAAACUGAGACCAAGGAAAGCAAAAUCUUGCCUGAUGCAGCCACAAUCGAAGCAGAAAAGAAAGCAGCGAAAGAAGCACCGGGACAAUGAGAGUAGCUUUCUAAUUUGUGCUGUACAUUCCACAAGCAUUGCCUUCUAGCUAUAUACCUUUGUAAAAGGGAAAAAAAAAUCCUUUUGGAUGCAGUGUGAUGGGAUUAAGUGAACUGGCUGGCUCCUUCCCCAUUCCACUUCCCCUUUCCUUGUUUCUUCCCUGCCCUCAUUUUGUUUCUUCCUGGCCUUGUUUUUUUUGGGUAAAAAAAACACCAUUUGGAACUACUGACCAUCUGACUGGCUUGUCUUCUGAUGGCACUAAAGAGCUUGCGUUAAUCUCUCCCUUUUCCGAUUUAAACUUUGAAAUUUCAACUUUAUUCAGUUGAAUCUGUACAGCAAUAGUUGUAAUUACGGCUACUUCGAAGAGCACCAGACGAAAUCCGGCCCCGUCUAAUGGGAAAUCUAAAAAGGCUGACGAGUACGCGGAAGAAACCCCCUUGGGUCAAGAGAUUAGAAUCUCGAAUCAGCGGUAUCUGCACUGAAAUAACGCAAUGAAAAGGGAAAUUGAAGAAAAAAUUGACUCUUUGAGCCUCGAUCUUAAAGAAGUUAAUCGAAAAGCGGCACAUCUCCCUUCUCGUUUAGAUAAGGCUUAGCAACUAAUCGUGGAUUUGGAAACUCAAUCACGUCUGAAUAAUAUUCGAAUUGUUGGGUUAAAAGAGAAAUCAGAAUCUGCCGACACACUGGAUUAUUUUGCUAAAAUGUUUCAGUCUUUAUUUCCGGAGGUUUGUUCGCAACUCCGGGAGAUUGAAUCGGCUCGUAGAACCGGUGCUUUAAAAACUUUGGAUGAAGGUAAAAACAGGCAUAUUGUUGUGUGUUUUCUCCAUUUUAGAGACAAAGAUUGCAUAGUAAGCUUGCAAGAAAACAAAGAUUAUUUUCACUUCAAGGCUCAGAAGUCCGUUUUUUUGAAGAUUUUCCAUGCGAAUUUGUUAAACGCGCUGCUUUUGGUCCUUCUAUGACACUAGUGUAUCAAAAGAAACUUUCCAUUAUUACAAUAUUCAGCAAAAUUAAAGCUCUUUAAUAAAAAUUCUGGAGUUCUUAUUUUCUAUAA
Hypanus sabinus (Atlantic stingray) is the source of this 1394-nucleotide long non-coding RNA. RefSeq lists it as uncharacterized. The record is from RefSeq and is a predicted model, not a curated record. Lineage: Eukaryota; Metazoa; Chordata; Chondrichthyes; Myliobatiformes; Dasyatidae. The transcript has 3 exons.